GUGCUCGCUGCAGCAGCACAUACACUGAAAUUGGAACGAUACAGGGGAGAUUAGCAUGACCUUUGCACAAGGAAGACAUGCAAAUUCAUGAAGCAUUCCAUAUUUUU
This 107-nucleotide small nuclear RNA is filed under the name Dasypus novemcinctus (nine-banded armadillo). Lineage: Eukaryota; Metazoa; Chordata; Mammalia; Cingulata; Dasypodidae. The record is from RNAcentral.